Molecule: long non-coding RNA, 310 nt
Filed under: Capsella rubella
Lineage: Eukaryota; Viridiplantae; Streptophyta; Magnoliopsida; Brassicales; Brassicaceae
Description: long non-coding RNA (CRUB_LNC003179)
Source: RNAcentral
GAUUAGUUAGAAAACAUAAUGUAAAUGGUGCACUUUUUACUAUAUUAAGUUUGCUAAACAAACUGAAAUAUAAGAGAAAUUUCAUCGGGUAGAUACCCAUUUGAGUAUUAAUUGAGUAAUGUAUAUGUCUUUAAAAAAAAAAUCAAAUCACAAUAUAUGCAAAAAAAAAAAAAAUGUAGAUACCCAUCUGAGUAUUAAUUGAGUAAUAUAUGUCUUUCUAGAAAAAUUUCGAAUCACAAUAUGUACAAAAAGUAGAAUUUUGUUAACUUUAUGAAUUAUACUAGUAGGUUGGCCGUGCUACACGCGGGAG